AACGAACGCUGGCGGCAGGCUUAACACAUGCAAGUCGAGCGCCCCGCAAGGGGAGCGGCAGACGGGUGAGUAACGCGUGGGAAUCUACCUUUUGCUACGGAAUAACUCAGGGAAACUUGUGCUAAUACCGUAUGUGCCCUUCGGGGGAAAGAUUUAUCGGCAAAGGAUGAGCCCGCGUUGGAUUAGGUAGUUGGUGGGGUAAUGGCCUACCAAGCCGACGAUCCAUAGCUGGUCUGAGAGGAUGAUCAGCCACAUUGGGACUGAGACACGGCCCAAACUCCUACGGGAGGCAGCAGUGGGGAAUAUUGGACAAUGGGCGCAAGCCUGAUCCAGCCAUGCCGCGUGAGUGAUGAAGGCCCUAGGGUUGUAAAGCUCUUUCACCGGUGAAGAUAAUGACGGUAACCGGAGAAGAAGCCCCGGCUAACUUCGUGCCAGCCGCCGCCGUAAAAC
Molecule: ribosomal RNA, 450 nt
Filed under: uncultured bacterium
Lineage: Bacteria
Description: bacterial SSU rRNA
Rfam family: Bacterial small subunit ribosomal RNA
Source: RNAcentral